AACAUAAGCAACGCAAACCCUACCUACUUUUGCGUCCUUGCGGCCCUAUAGCCGCGCCAGUUUGAAUACGUAUAA
RNAcentral lists this small RNA (75 nucleotides) under uncultured Sporosarcina sp. RNAcentral describes it as "BsrC". It matches the Rfam family "BsrC", at positions 4 to 77 of the family's 87-position model. Rfam says of the family: The 301 nucleotide sequence from Kouji Nakamura has been trimmed to a highly conserved ~85 nucleotide long core to form this family. The record is from RNAcentral. Lineage: Bacteria; Bacillati; Bacillota; Bacilli; Caryophanales; Caryophanaceae.